RNAcentral lists this ribosomal RNA (420 nucleotides) under uncultured Pleurocapsa sp. RNAcentral's name for it is "bacterial SSU rRNA". It matches the Rfam family "Bacterial small subunit ribosomal RNA", at positions 356 to 790 of the family's 1533-position model. Lineage: Bacteria; Bacillati; Cyanobacteriota; Cyanophyceae; Pleurocapsales; Pleurocapsaceae. The record is from RNAcentral.
GGGGAAUUUUCCGCAAUGGGCGAAAGCCUGACGGAGCAAUACCGCGUGAGGGAGGAAGGUUUUUGGAUUGUAAACCUCUUUUUUAAAGGAAGAAGAAAGUGACGGUACUUUAAGAAUCAGCAUCGGCUAACUCCGUGCCAGCAGCCGCGGUAAUACGGAGGAUGCAAGCGUUAUCCGGAAUCAUUGGGCGUAAAGCGUCCGCAGGUGGCUGUUCAAGUCUGCUGUUAAAGACAGAAGCUCAACUUCUGAACAGCAGUGGAAACUGGACGGCUAGAGUACGGUAGGGGUUGAGGGAAUUCCCAGUGUAGCGGUGAAAUGCGUAGAUAUUGGGAAGAACACCAGUGGCGAAGGCGCUCAACUGGACCGUAACUGACACUCAGGGACGAAAGCUAGGGUAGCGAAAGGGAUUAGAUACCCCUG